Molecule: non-coding RNA, 173 nt
Organism: Sphingobacteriales bacterium 50-39
Lineage: Bacteria; Pseudomonadati; Bacteroidota; Sphingobacteriia; Sphingobacteriales
Source: Rfam
UCCAUCGCGAGGUGGAAUCUGAAGGAAGCCGGCGGCAAACUCCCGACCUUACGAACAGAAACUGCUUAGAAGGCAGACACAGCGAGGCGAUGCUGCAAAAGAAGCAAAAGCCCUAAACUACCCGGAAGCUGUGGAAGUAAAAGCAGAAGGUACAUGGGAGGAAAGCGAAUGAG